UACAGAGGUGGCAAGCGUUGUUCGGAAUUACUGGGCGUAAAGGGCGCGUAGGCGGCCCUCCUAGUCGCGUGUGAAAGCCCCGGGCUCAACCUGGGAACGGCGCGCGAAACGGGGGGGCUGGAGUUCGGGAGAGGAGCGUGGAAUUCCCAGUGUAGAGGUGAAAUUCGUAGAUAUUGGGAAGAACACCGGUGGCGAAGGCGGCGCUCUGGACCGAGACUGACGCUGAGGCGCGAAAGCCAGGGGAGCGAACGGG
This 253-nucleotide ribosomal RNA is filed under the name uncultured bacterium. RNAcentral's name for it is "partial 16S ribosomal RNA". It matches the Rfam family "Bacterial small subunit ribosomal RNA", at positions 524 to 776 of the family's 1533-position model. The record is from RNAcentral.